GAAAUGCGAUAAGUAAUGUGAAUUGCAGAAUUCAGUGAAUCAUCGAAUCUUUGAACGCAUCUUGCGCUCCUUGGUAUUCCUUGGGGCAUGCCUGUUUGAGUAUCAUGAAAUCUUCAAAGUAAAUCUUUUGUUAACUCAAUUGGUUUCUACUUUGGUAUUGGAGGUCUUUGCAGCUUCACACCUGCUCCUCUUUGUUCAUUAGCUGGAUCUCAGUGUUAUGCUUGGUUCCACUCGGCGUGAUAAGUUAUCUAUCGCUGAGGACACUGUAAAAGGUGGCCAAGGUAAAUGCAGAUGAACCGCUUCUAAUAGUCCAUUGACUUGGACAAUACUUUUAUGAUCUGAUCUCAAAUCAGGUAGGACUACCCGCUGAACUUAAGC
This 378-nucleotide unclassified non-coding RNA is filed under the name plant metagenome. Its description in RNAcentral is "partial contains 5.8S ribosomal RNA, internal transcribed spacer 2, and large subunit ribosomal RNA". The stretch from base 1 to 105 matches the Rfam family "5.8S ribosomal RNA", at positions 50 to 154 of the family's 154-position model. The record is from RNAcentral.